UUAAUAAUCCCCACAUGCAUUAUAUCUGAUAUAUAUAUGUAAGUUUGUAUGUGUGUAUAUUAUAUAUAUACUUGUGUGUGUAUAUAUAAUAUACACACAUACAAAUUUACAUAUAUAUAUAUAUCAGAUAUAAUGCAUGUGGGGAUUAUUAA
Molecule: microRNA precursor, 152 nt
Filed under: Marmota monax (woodchuck)
Lineage: Eukaryota; Metazoa; Chordata; Mammalia; Rodentia; Sciuridae
Source: RNAcentral